This 72-nucleotide transfer RNA is filed under the name Variovorax sp. YR216. RNAcentral's name for it is "tRNA_Val_CAC". It matches the Rfam family "tRNA". Rfam says of the family: Transfer RNA (tRNA) molecules are approximately 80 nucleotides in length. Their secondary structure includes four short double-helical elements and three loops (D, anti-codon, and T loops). Further hydrogen bonds mediate the characteristic L-shaped molecular structure. tRNAs have two regions of fundamental functional importance: the anti-codon, which is responsible for specific mRNA codon recognition, and the 3' end, to which the tRNAs corresponding amino acid is attached (by aminoacyl-tRNA synthetases). tRNAs cope with the degeneracy of the genetic code in two manners: having more than one tRNA (with a specific anti-codon) for a particular amino acid; and 'wobble' base-pairing, i.e. permitting non-standard base-pairing at the 3rd anti-codon position. RNAcentral also lists the same sequence under 1 other name. The record is from RNAcentral. Lineage: Bacteria; Pseudomonadati; Pseudomonadota; Betaproteobacteria; Burkholderiales; Comamonadaceae.
GGGCGGUUAGCUCAGGGGUAGAGCACAGCAUUCACACUGCUGGGGUCCGGGGUUCGAAACCCUGACCGCCCA